Molecule: long non-coding RNA, 1551 nt
Organism: Equus asinus (donkey)
Lineage: Eukaryota; Metazoa; Chordata; Mammalia; Perissodactyla; Equidae
Source: Ensembl
AUGUAGACCUCCAUCCUCCCGGUGGUUCACGGUGAUGCCACUGACUCUAUGUCCCUCCUCGUCCCACACAAUGUGAAGAUGAGUCCACUGUGUAUCUAAAUGAGGUCUGCAGGAUGGGCACCCUCUAGGCAGGUGUGAUGGAGAAGCUGACAGAGUCCAUGGUCCCAGCCUUCCCGGGUAGAAUCAUCUGCAAUGUCACCACCUUUGUGUGCAACUACUCAGCCUUCAACACUUCCCACCAGGUCCUGGACCAACUGUUUACCAGGACUUUUGAAGACACUUAGCAUAACUCAAUGAAUGAAGCAGACACCAUCCCUGGUCCUCAAUUCUACUCUGAGAGUCAGGCAGUCACACUCGAAAUCAUUCACAGGUACUGUCCACUAUACGAACCAUGAGAUGCCCUUGUAUCUUCUUGGACAUAUGGAGGCAUCUUCCCACAUUGUGAGUGGGAUGAUGGACCAAAGGACCACCUAAAAAAAUGAGUGGUCUUUGGGUCCAGAAGGAGGGCCUCCUGUCUCUAGAGAACAUGUUUGAGGGAGAGUAUGGGGCUGUGGCUUUGGCAGGCCUAGCAGAACCCUGCAUCUCACUCAUCUUUUGAUUCUUAUGGGAGGGCUGAGUUCUGGUGGCUUCCACUCCAGGAGGACAGGAGUCAAAGAGAGCUGUGGAUGGGUCUCAGGCCCCCUGGGAACCAGAAGGGAAGCUGGGCUUAGUUGUUCCCUAGAGACCCAUCCCACCAGAGUCUCAUCUCACUCUGCCUCCCUUUCUCCACAUCCACCCCUUUUGGCCACCACCACCAGGUCCAGAGCAGGAGAUGCAUGAUAAAGUUGCUCACAAAUCUGCCUGAGUCUUCAGUCCAGUGGCCCUCGUGCAUGGAGGGUUGGGGUGGGCUGUAUCCAGGCCCUUUGGGAGAAGAGUGUCAGUGGGAACAAGAGACUCCCACAGACUCUGUGUUCAACCUGGUGGAUGAGCAGGCCUGCCACUGCAAGGACAGCCACACAGGGUUCAGGGCUGGGAUGGGGCUCUCCUCUGGAGGAGAAGAGGCAGGCACAGGGGUCCAGAUCCAAACAAGGGUGCUUCAGGAGGGCAGUGUGGAAAGAAAGGCCAGGUCUCUGACUCUGCGGCCCAUCUGCUGCUCCUCAGUGCUAUCUCUUUUAUGGUGGGAAGCUGGCUGGACCAAGGGCAGGAUUUCUGGGAGCGCCUGCACUUUCCCUGUUUGACAGUGAAGCUGGCCAUUGUUCAUGUCAGCUUUGGUGGCUGAAGGGAAAUGGAGGUACUGUAGACAAUCAGACUGGAGCAGCUUCGGUGCAGAUGUGACUCAGCAUGUCCCCUGCAGGCAGUGCACACGCCAACCAUGUAUGUAAACACCUUACGUAACCUGCAUAAUGUAAACAUUGUAUGUCAUCUGCUGGCUGUAUGCCGCUUUUGUCUAGUAGUCAUUUAAAAGUGGCCACAAGGGGAGCUGCUGUGCUCCCACCGUCUGUGGGCCAGAGUAAACAAAGAGUAUGUCUCCCUUGCGGUUGGCUGCUCACAGCUUUUUUCUUUUCUGUUUUU